GUAGUUAUCUCGUUAUGUUUUUCAAUUAUCUUUCAGUUAUUAUCUUUUUAUUUCUCUUUUUGGUUCGUCUAUCAUCAAAGAGAAAUCCGUUGCUACUUGUCCAUCAUCAAUAACGGUAAAAAUAUCAUCUAUAAAUUGGAAAAGUACAGCUAAUUCUAACUAUCAAUCUCUGUUUAGAGUAACCACAUAAAUGAUGCUCUCCUUCAUCCGAUAAGAAGAUAUGACCAGGAAACAAGAUGGGAAGCAGCUGAAGAAAUGUAUGCAACAUGAGAGACCUCCAAGUAAUUACUAAUCAAACUAGGAACCUCCUAUGUUAUUAGACUCAAUUAAGGGUCCUUCAUCCGAUAAGAAGAUAUGACCAGCAAACAAGAUGGGAAGCAGCUGAAGAAACACAUGCCACAUGAGAGACCUCUUAGUAAUUACUAAUCAAACUAGGAACCUCCUAUGUUGUUAGACUCAAUUAAGGGUCGAUUUAUGAUCCCCUACCAUACAACAAUAUGUAUCUUCUAUGAAAGAAAACUAUGAAGUGCUGAGACUUCCUAAUGUGGCAAGAAGCAAGAUAUGCCAAUAUGAGUGAUUUGAACAUCUGCUAUAAUUUGAAAACUGAACCAUUCUGGGAGAGAAAGCAACUAUAUAUAUGGACUGAAUCGGGCAUGAAAAUUGGAGUCACGUGACCUCUCUCAUAUCGACUAGAUGUUGUGGACCCCGCACAUGCAAACUCCACUCAUCAGGUCUGUGAGAAGCAACAUCACCACUGAAACAUUUCCAACUCCACCCAAAUAGAAGACUUCUUCUAAAAUAACGAAGUUAUAUGUCUGAAGCAACACAAGAUCAUCAUGUUUGUUGGUUCGUAAAUACAAAGAAAGAAAUUUUUCAUUAUAGUUAACAGGAGAAUGUUGCUCAAGAAAGAUGUAAACCAAGGUGAAUAACUGUUGAAGCUAAUAAAUGAUGAGAACCUACUAACUGUAGCCGCUUAAACUUUUAGCACAACAAUGAUGUGUACGAAGGUAUAAUAGUGGUCGAAGCUCAUAAAGAAUGAUAUAAAACCUAUUAAUUAUAGAUACAUACAAUGAAGGGCAUAAGACUGUUUGGAUUCUUUAAUUUUAG
RNAcentral lists this long non-coding RNA (1107 nucleotides) under Musa acuminata (dwarf banana). RNAcentral describes it as "long non-coding RNA (MACU_LNC007947)". Lineage: Eukaryota; Viridiplantae; Streptophyta; Magnoliopsida; Zingiberales; Musaceae. The record is from RNAcentral.